RNAcentral lists this ribosomal RNA (500 nucleotides) under uncultured bacterium. RNAcentral describes it as "partial 16S ribosomal RNA". It matches the Rfam family "Bacterial small subunit ribosomal RNA", at positions 29 to 523 of the family's 1533-position model. The record is from RNAcentral.
AUUGAACGCUGGCGGCAUGCCUUACACACGCAAGUCGAGCGGCAGCGCGGGGGCAACCCUGGCGGCGAGCGGCGAACGGGUGAGUAAUGCAUCGGAACGUGUCCUCUUGUGGGGGAUAACCAGUCGAAAGACUGGCUAAUACCGCAUGAGCUCGUAAGAGGAAAGCAGGGGACCGCAAGGCCUUGCGCGAGAGGAGCGGCCGAUGCCGGAUUAGCUCGUUGGUGGGGUAACGGCUCACCAAGGCGACGAUCCGUAGCUGGUCUGAGAGGACGACCAGCAAGGCUGGGACUGAGACACAGCCCAGACUCGUACGGGAGGCAGCAGUGGGGAAUUUUGGACAAUGGGGGCAACCCUGAUCCAGCCAUGCCGCGUGUGUGAAGAAGGCCUUCGGGUUGUAAAGCACUUUCGGACGGAACGAAAUCGCGCGGGCGAAUAUCCCGCGUGGAUGACGGUACCGUAAGAAGAAGCACCGGCUAACUACGUGCCAGCAGCCGCCGUAA